Molecule: ribosomal RNA, 253 nt
Filed under: uncultured bacterium
Lineage: Bacteria
Description: partial 16S ribosomal RNA
Rfam family: Bacterial small subunit ribosomal RNA
Source: RNAcentral
UACGUGGGAUGCAAGCGUUGUUCGGAAUUACUGGGCGUAAAGAGUACGUAGGCGGUUUGAAAAGUCUGAUAUUAAAGACUGGGGCUUAACUCCAGGAGUGUAUCGGAAACUUUCAGACUAGAGGACAAUAGAGGAAGUCGGAAUUCUCAGUGUAGCGGUGAAAUGCGUAGAUAUUGGGAAGAACACCAGUGGCGAAAGCGGACUUCUGGGUUGUUACUGACGCUGAGGUACGAAAGCGUGGGGAGCAAACGGG